GGUAAUCUCUUCAUUUUUUUUCAAUAUUUUCGUUUUGACUAUGUAAAUCUUUAUUAAACUUGUUCAUAGAUUUAGUCUUACUUCAAAUUUCAUUGUUUUUUGCGGCGUGCGAGGCAAAGUUUUGCUGUUUUUCGCCGUCCGAUAAAAGAAGCAGAUUAUACCAGAGAAAGAAUCAGGUAUUUUCCGUCUGUUUUAUUAAUACUUUUCAAAGAAUAAGUUGUAACAUUGAUUAAAUUUUGUUUCAGUUGUAAUAUAAUAGCAAGUUUUCGAUUUUAACUUUAAAAAUAUGAAAGUAAAUGUCGGGCAAAAUUUGUAGAAAUUUUAUGUUAUUAUCCUUUGACAAAAUCGUUUUUUCUCGCACGAAGUCUAAAAAAAUCUGGGUAGAAAGAGUUAUAUUUUAGUUUGUUAAGUUAUACUGGCUAUUUUAUUUGCAUCUUGAUCAGAUUUUAAAGUCUAGAUUGAUCUUUUCCAUAUGUUUGUCCCAUCGCAUGCUAAAACAACAACGAAAUAUCUCUCCAAAGCGGGUAAAAAUAUAGUGGGAAAUCGAUGUUUAGAUAAAUUUAACAAAUAUUUAUAUAACCUAGCACGAAAUAUUAAGAAAAGAUCAAAGAGAUUCAAGAAAAAACACUUUAAAAACCCUAAAAUUCACUUUUCGC
This is a non-coding RNA of Paramuricea clavata, 656 nucleotides long. The record is from the annotation of a GenBank genome assembly. Lineage: Eukaryota; Metazoa; Cnidaria; Anthozoa; Malacalcyonacea; Plexauridae.